Long non-coding RNA from Patiria miniata (bat star), 586 nucleotides. RefSeq lists it as uncharacterized. The record is from RefSeq and is a predicted model, not a curated record. The transcript is spliced from 3 exons. NCBI's taxonomy places the organism in Eukaryota, Metazoa, Echinodermata, Asteroidea, Valvatida, Asterinidae.
ACCAGUCUAUCAUUUCGUUACCAACUCAGUGACGCAUGCGUAUUGUGUCACUGAUUAUACUUGAUGGCAGCAAAAACGUGAAUAGGGACACUCGUCUCAUCCUUAAAGAACUCCUUCAAAGCAGAAUUGAGCAUUGCUCUCUGGCGUACAAGGUCCCGUGGAUUUCGUUUUAGUGGGAGUCGGACUGUAUUCCCUCAUCCAUCCUCUUAACUAGAGCGGUGUGUCGAUCCUGCUUGAGUCUCGUCUGUUUAGAUCGAGUCAUUGUCUACGAAACAAUAGGUGAAAUCAUGGCGACGGCAUCCACAUUGCAAGCUAGGCGUCAGGUUACGAGAGUGCCCAAGCAAAGCGAAUGCGGAUGGGGAAUUGUGGUGGUCAUUGCUGCCCACGUCGGCAUGGCAUCGAGUGGUAUCCUGCGAUGCAGUGGGAUCCUGUAUCUUCCCUGGAUGAAUGAGUUCGACUUGAGUGCCAAGGAGACGGCGGUCAUUCAAAGUUUCAUGUCAUCCCCAGCAGGGUUCGCAGUUCUCAUUGGAGGAGUUCUAAGCAACCGCUUCGGUUGUAGAUUUACGGGUAUACUAGGAGGGUUCUU